This is a long non-coding RNA of Megalobrama amblycephala (Wuchang bream), 526 nucleotides long. RefSeq lists it as uncharacterized. The transcript has 2 exons. NCBI's taxonomy places the organism in Eukaryota, Metazoa, Chordata, Actinopteri, Cypriniformes, Xenocyprididae. The record is from RefSeq and is a predicted model, not a curated record.
UUGAUGUCAUUCGAACUACGAUCUGGCGGGUCUUACUAUCUGUAAAGAAGAGUCUGCCGAUGUUUUUAAGACACAAGAAAAAGGAGCUUGACCAGGUGCAGAAGGCAACACUCACCAUCAUUGCUGUUGAGGAGGAAGAGGGAACUUUUUACCUUUUAACCCACUGGAUAUUUUGAUUGUCUUUGAAGAUGAGGUGAUGUCUGCCAAGUCAGUGCACUGCCUUUGGAGUACACUUAGUUCGUACAGAAAGUACUGUUGAAUUACCUUUCUUACAUAAAAAUUAUCUACUCUGUUUCUGGUGGUGUUAGAACAUAGUUAUUUUAUAUUAUUAAUUUAAUUUGACAAACUUUUACAAUUUUAAAAUUAAAAUGUUUAAACAAACAUAUUUCCUUGUUUGUGCGGUCUUAUACUUGGAGGGAAAAAAAUCUAAGAUUGUUUUAAAGUUAUAUUUUUGACUUGACAGCCCAAUUAUUUUAUGCUUGAACAUUUUGUGAAUUAACUGUUGUUUUUCAAUAAAUACUUAAGA